UUCGUCUGCACGUCGGGAGGAUGAGAAUCUCCGCAGGAGGUUUGAGCCGAACGAAGUGAGACCACGUUGCUUUAGCAACGGCCCGCAGGCGCGUAAUCUUUCUCUCGCUGACCA
Molecule: small RNA, 114 nt
Filed under: Serratia nematodiphila DZ0503SBS1
Lineage: Bacteria; Pseudomonadati; Pseudomonadota; Gammaproteobacteria; Enterobacterales; Yersiniaceae
Description: RtT RNA
Rfam family: RtT RNA
About the family: This family represents a bacterial cis-regulatory element known as RtT RNA. The exact function of RtT is unknown although it is thought that it may be involved in changing the cellular response in relation to amino acid starvation.
Source: RNAcentral